AACGAACGCUGGCAGCAUGCCUAACACAUGCAAGUCGAACGAGACCUUCGGGUCUAGUGGCGCACGGGUUCGUAACGCGUGGGAACCUGCCCUUAGGUUCGGAAUAACUCCCCGAAAGGGGUGCUAAUACCGGCUAAUGUCUUCGGACCAAAGAUUUAUCGCCUUUGGAUGGGCCCGCGUUGGAUUAGCUAGUUGGUAGGGUAAAAGCCUACCAAGGCGACGAUCCAUAGCUGGUCUGAGAGGAUGAUCAGCCACACUGGGACUGAGACACGGCCCAGACUCCUACGGGAGGCAGCAGUGGGGAAUAUUGGACAAUGGGCGAAAGCCUGAUCCAGCAAUGCCGCGUGAGUGAUGAAGGCCUUAGGGUUGUAAAGCUCUUUUACCCGGGAUGAUAAUGACAGUACCGGGAGAAUAAGCGCCGGCUAACUCCGUG
RNAcentral lists this ribosomal RNA (433 nucleotides) under uncultured bacterium. RNAcentral describes it as "partial 16S ribosomal RNA". It matches the Rfam family "Bacterial small subunit ribosomal RNA", at positions 29 to 507 of the family's 1533-position model. The record is from RNAcentral.